CUCCAUCAAUCAGUGGCGGACGGGUGAGUAACACGUGAGCAACCUGCCUUUCGGAGGGGGACAACAGUUGGAAAUGACUGCUAAUACCGCGUAACGUUGCGAGACCGCAUGGUCAUGCAACCAAAGGAGCAAUCCGUCGAAAGAUGGGCUCGCGUCCGAUUAGAUAGUUGGUGAGGUAACGGCCCACCAAGUCGACGAUCGGUAGCCGGACUGAGAGGUUGACCGGCCACAUUGGGACUGAGAUACGGCCCAGACUCCUACGGGAGGCAGCAGUGGGGGGUAUUGCACAAUGGGGGAAACCCUGAUGCAGCGAUGCCGCGUGAGGGAAGAAGGUUUUCGGAUUGUAAACCUCUGUGGAGGGGGACGAUAAUGACGGUACCCCUAAGGAAGCCACGGCUAACUACGUGCCAGCAGCCGCGGUAAUGCGUAGGUGGCGAGCGUUGUCCGGAAUUACUGGGUGUAAAGGGAGCGUAGGCGGGAGUGCAAGUCAGAAGUGAAAACUAUGGGCUCAACCCAUAGCCUGCUUUUGAAACUGUACUUCUUGAGUGAGUCAGAGGCAAGCGGAAUUCCCAGUGUAGCGGUGAAAUGCGUAGAUAUUGGGAGGAACACCAGUGGCGAAGGCGGCUUGCUGGGGCUUUACUGACGCUGAGGCUCGAAAGCGUGGGGAGCAAACAGGAUUAGAUACCCUGGUAGUCCUCGCCGUAAACGAUGAUUACUAGGUGUGGGGUGAGAAC
RNAcentral lists this ribosomal RNA (734 nucleotides) under uncultured bacterium. Its description in RNAcentral is "bacterial SSU rRNA". It matches the Rfam family "Bacterial small subunit ribosomal RNA", at positions 83 to 834 of the family's 1533-position model. RNAcentral also lists the same sequence under 1 other name. The record is from RNAcentral.